UGAUUAUUUUGUUUGUUGAUGGAUAAAAUUGGUGCAGUGUACGUUUUCCAUAUCUCUGGAUAUUCUAUUCCUUCGUUUGGGUCUAGUUUGGGUGCUAGUGGCCUUAUCGAUAGCAAGACGGGUACCAAUUGGCUCCACGAUGCGACAUAGAUCAUCCCAAACGUAGUGAUGCCAUGGAAAGUUAGUCCAAAUUGAGGCUGGAUUUUCAUUGUUUUCAGGUUCGGAGGCACAGUCUAGCGGUCCAGAAAAUCAGUAGAUUCGUCAGGCA
Long non-coding RNA from Capsicum annuum, 268 nucleotides. RefSeq lists it as uncharacterized. NCBI's taxonomy places the organism in Eukaryota, Viridiplantae, Streptophyta, Magnoliopsida, Solanales, Solanaceae. The transcript has 3 exons. The record is from RefSeq and is a predicted model, not a curated record.